UUCUUUUUCGGAAGCUCAUCCUUAAAGAACUCCGGGGUUAAGCGUGCUUGGCCCGGAGCAAUUUUUGGAUGGGUGACCGACUGGGAAGUUCUUCCCGGGUGCGCACGAGUGAGGACAAAGUGCGCAGAAAAGACUUGUGUUGGUCUGUGAGGGAAUUCUUGAUAUUCUAGAGAGCUGCCAGGUGUAAGCGGACCCGGCCCCGGGGGGCGGGACGCCACAGUUGGUAUCAGAGCCGACUCUCGCGGUUUCACGGGCGCGUGCGGUCGCAGUUGCGCAGGCAUGGUGUGCAUGGCUGGUGUGGGCUCAGAGUGGUCAUACAGCAUGGCACAUGCGCUGGCACUGGACACACGGACGUGGCCAAGAGGGGACGUUCCUGGCUUGGGGAUGACCGACGAGGGCGUCGGUCUUCUAAGGGGGUGAGUAUGUGACAUCCUGGCCCAAGGCUUAAUAGGAUUGAUAGAAUAUUCAUACCAACAAGUUGCAACUUCUUUUCCGGAAGCUCAUCCUUAAAGAACUCCGAGGUUAAGCGUGCUUGGCCCGGAGCAAUUUCGGGAUGGGUGACCGACCGGGAAGUUCUUCCCGGGUGCGCACGAGUGAGGAUAAAGUGCGCAGAAAAGACUUGUGUUGGUCUGUGAGGGAAUUCUUGAUAUUCUAGAGAGCUGCCAGGUGUAAGCGGACCCGGCCCCGGGGGCGGGACGCCACACUACCCCUGUUUCCCUUUAGUGGCAUCAGAACCGUCUUGCAUAGUUUUUGGUCUGGAUCUUGCACAUAUAGGUGAUAUGUGAUGGUAGUAGAUGUGAUCUUUUAUGGUUAGGUUCAUGUGAUGGAUCUUUUGAUGCACGGCUUGAUUAGAUCAAUUGGUCAUAAGGGGAUGGAAUAGGUUCGACUAGAUUGCAUUAUGUGACCAAAAAGAUUAGUCCGUGCUCCUUCUUUAUUGUGCACGUGACUUGUCCCCACCGGUUGGAAUCACCAUCAGGGCAUGCAGAAAACAUUGGAUGAGUUGCAUGGCAUGCUGAAGACAUUUGAGGAAAGCAUUAAAACCCUACUCAUGUGAUGAUGGUUCAGAAGGAGAACAAAAAGAGGAAGUGUUGGACGCCUCCCAAAGGCAAAUGCAAGGGAAAGGUCAUUCCCAAUGAGUGAUGAGGACAUCAC
RNAcentral lists this long non-coding RNA (1152 nucleotides) under Setaria viridis. RNAcentral describes it as "long non-coding RNA (SVIR_LNC006826)". Lineage: Eukaryota; Viridiplantae; Streptophyta; Magnoliopsida; Poales; Poaceae. The record is from RNAcentral.